AACCCAUGGUGAGGGCAUCUUCUCAAUAAGUCUUUAUAUCUCUCUCAUGCAUCAUAAAGUGUUUCUAAAUUCAUCUGCACAAAAGAAGAGAUAUCAUUCUUCAAUUU
Non-coding RNA from Gossypium hirsutum (cotton), 107 nucleotides. Lineage: Eukaryota; Viridiplantae; Streptophyta; Magnoliopsida; Malvales; Malvaceae. The record is from Rfam.